Ailuropoda melanoleuca (giant panda) is the source of this 2240-nucleotide long non-coding RNA. RefSeq lists it as uncharacterized. The transcript has 4 exons. NCBI's taxonomy places the organism in Eukaryota, Metazoa, Chordata, Mammalia, Carnivora, Ursidae. The record is from RefSeq and is a predicted model, not a curated record.
ACUUGUAUGUGCAACUCCAGGUCAUUCACUGACCCCCACGGGGGCUCUUACUACCGCUCCUCAAUACUUCCAGUUCUCGUCUCCCAGGCACGCUGGAGAACCACACUUCCUUCCUGACCAGAUUAGUCGCUGCUUUGGCCAAUGAAAUGCUGGUGGAAGUGAUGUGUGCUAAGCUUUAAGAGGCUGUACUGGAUGCGGCAUGCUUUCUUUUUACUCUGUCCCCAGAACCGCUGUGUUCCAGGCAAGGACUGCUCGGUCAGCGAGGGUCCAGGAGCGAGGGGCACACGGAGCAGAGCACCUGGCCGGCUGCAACGGACGGACGGAGUGUAGGGGAAGAUUCAGCUCCACUUGGGUAACCAGGCUUCCUCCAUGCAGUGGCCACGCCACCUCCUUAUGGCUUGGAGUCCCGGCUCAGACCUUUGUACCUGGCAGGCAGGAGAUGGGAUUAUCCCCAUUUUACAGAUGAAGAAAUUGAGGCACAGAAAGUUUUGAAUAAUUUGAAAGUUUAAAUUACUUGAGCAAAAUCAUACAGCCAAAAUGAGGAGAACCAGGAUCUGAACACAAGUCUCUGACCCUAGCCUUCUGUUCUGUUCACUAUAGAGUCACUCACGGGGGAUGAGUUACCUUAGGAACUCAUGUGUACCUUGAAGCCUCAUCAGGCAAGACCUCUGAUGGCUGAGUGGACUUCCCAUGGUUGAAAAAAUGGAUGUGGUUAUACGCCAUACUGGGGAGACAGCAUACCAAUCUAAUGCCAGGACUUGUGGGAGCUAGAGUCCUUUCAAAGAAGAUUGAUAAUAGGGAGGCAAGUUACUGGGAACUGUAAACUUUGGACUCCAAGGAGAAGAAACCUGGACUGAAAGUAACACUCAACAACCUCAUGGACCCAUGCCGUGAACAAGGGCAGCAAGACUAACACUCUCCGGAAGUGUCAACAAAGGGUGGUCCUCUGAAGAGAAAUGGUCAGUUUACAGAGCCGCAGGGGGGAAAGCAGGAAAAAUGGCGGCAAAAAAACCACAGAUGGAUUUAAGACCAGGGCUCUUCCUGCUUGGGUGUGGGAAUCUAAUGGACUCCUCCUGGGAAAGGGAGAACCUCAACUGAGAUACUAAAUCAGCAUAUGGAUGCUUGAUACCCUUUUAGCUUAACUUGGAGACAUAAGAGAUAAAUAAAUUGGCACAGCCAUUGCUUCUCCAAGCCUUUCUGUCUCUUCCAAGUUAGCUACAAUGGGCAUGUAUUACUAUUUUUAAAUUUAAUAUAACUCACUUAAAAUCAUUAACCUGACAAAUUAUAUUAAAUAGAUAUGUAUUAUCUUACACAUCAGUUUAAUAUUUAAAGAACAUACCAUUGGUUUAAAAAAAAAACACAUUAAUACUUUCAAGCCACAAAGCUAUCAUACAGAAAAUUUUACAUCGAUGUGCUAGAAGAUAUGAAAUAUUACUAGAACAUAUAGCAAACUAGAUAGGCAAAAGCUCUUAGAACAAAGGUUGCUUGAGGUCAUACUGGCCCUGAUCAUGUUACACAUUCCCUCACCUCCUACAGGAAAGGUUUUAGGCAGAGAGAAUAUAAAUAUUUUAUUUAUUAAAUGUCUGGUCCUGUUUUAAGUAUUUCUGAUGGUUUCUUCAUGAGAAUAGUAAUAACAAUAAAAACCUCCCUUCUUUUUCCUUGGGUUACUUUGGAAAUACAGCUCAUUCAUCCCUGUGCCAAAGAGAGGCUUUGGGGUUUUUUUAAUUAAAAAAACAUUCUUGUCAACUUUACCCUCUAUCUUCUUAUGUAGGUUGGCCAUGCCCACUUAAAAAUGUAUUGCUGAUGACUGAUUCCUGUUAUGUAAAAUAACCAACGGGAAAUUUAAACACACACCCACACAGAGUUUGCACUUAGACUGUCUUGAAUAGUACAUUCAAUUGUACUUUGACUUCCUUAAAACUAUCCACUGAUUUAUUUUAACCAUUGUUUUUUUAAGAUUUUACUUAUUUGGCGAGCAAGAGAGUACAGCAGGGGGAGCAGAAGAAGAGGGAGAAACACUCCCCACCGAGCAGGCAGGGGGCCCGAUAUGGGUGAUGCCAGGACCCUGGGAUCAUGACCUUAACCUUAAGGCAGAUGCUUAACCCUCUGAACCCCCCAGGCUCCCCUAUUUUAACCUCUUUUAUAUAGAAGACAUUCUGGUAACAAAAUGUAUGAAUUAUUUCAGAGAAGGAAAAUAUAAUGUCUACAUGAUUAAGAGAAAUCUGAUUUCUGGAAUAAAG